UGUCCCAUUGGAGGUGACACAGGUGUGGUGGCUGUGUCCCAUGUGCUUCAGUAGCUGGCAGAGGGGCUAUGUCUAAGCUCAGUGUUCAGACCUACAAACAUCUGAAUGGUAAGUAGCCUAACACU
This is a small nucleolar RNA of Acomys russatus (golden spiny mouse), 125 nucleotides long. RefSeq annotates it as small nucleolar RNA SNORA17. Lineage: Eukaryota; Metazoa; Chordata; Mammalia; Rodentia; Muridae. The record is from RefSeq and is a predicted model, not a curated record. The transcript has a single exon.